UGUCUGUCGUUUCGGCAGAGUACUAGUGUACGUGGCUGCGUAUGUGUGUUCCUGCACGCUUUAUGUUCAGUGGAUUAGGAACAGAAUUGUGAGAGUGUGCCACUGUCGCUGUCAAACUCAUCUCAUGCUCAUGUAUGCUUGAUAAAAAAUGUUAUGUGGCACGACGCAGAUGCAGCGAAUCAAACGUGUGUCGUUUGUAAAUAUAGUGUGUAGUGCGUGACUGUAGUCUGAUGUUCUCUUCAAUGUUCAAUUUUUCAAUGACAACAACUCUAUUCUCAAAAUCUUUUCGAUCGUGCCUCUCAAGUCUGACUUUCGUUCCAAAAUGCAAUCCAGCACGCGCUGAAGAAUUAGAACAGCUGAAAGAAUAUCUAAAAUUCUCUGCUCGAAUGUGCGUUUUAACCGGGGCCGGAAUUUCUACAGAAAGUGGAAUUCCUGAUUACAGGUCUGAAGGUGUUGGUCUCUUUGCUACCAGCGACAGAAGACCAGUUUCUUACAAAGAUUUUUGUGGUAGCGAUAAAGUUAGAACAAGAUACUGGGCUAGAAAUUAUAUCGGUUGGCCAAGGUUUUCAUCCUUUGAGCCAAACGUUACUCACAAGCUACUGAAAAAGUUAGAAGACAUUGGUAGAGUAAGUUGUAUCGUAACGCAAAAUGUUGAGAGUUUACACGUAAAAGCUGGAAGUCAAAAUAUUAUAGAGCUUCACGGAACUGCUUUCAGAGUGAUGUGCUUAAACUGUGAUCAGAAGAUUAGUAGAUAUUCUUUUCAAGAAAUACUUGAUGAACUUAAUCCCAGUAUUACUUCUUUCGAUGAAACAAUCCGUCCAGAUGGAGAUGUAGAAUUAUCACAGGAACAAGUGGAAGAGUUCAAGGUACCUUCGUGCUCAAACUGUGGAGGAGUUUUGAAGCCUGACAUUGUUUUUUUCGGGGAGAACGUUGCAAGAGCAGUUGUCGAACUGAUAAAGCAAGAAGUAGAAACGGCCGAUUUUCUCCUAAUACUUGGAACUUCUCUUACAACAUUUUCGGGUUACAGAAUUGUGCUGCAAGCUCUCGAAGCUAAAAAACCUAUCGCAAUAGUCAACAUCGGGAAGACAAGGGGGGACGAGUAUGCCAACAUUAAAGUUCAAGGAAGAUGCGGAGAAAUUCUUCAUAAAAUGUACGCAGAAGAGCUGCAGGAUGUAAGUUAAUAAAGUCGAAUAAUAGAAUAAUAGAAUUGUCCAAUAACACUCUUCCGACGGGAUUCAUGAGGAUCCCGCCCAUGGAAAUGGAAUGUACCAGAUGGUCACCCCUCAUGAAUAAUUUAUCUCGACUGCGUUGGAACAGUAGGGUCGAUCAUGGAGUUGGACAAAAAAGGCAUGCCCAACAUCCCAUCAUAGCUGAGUGGAAAAUUAUUCGGCACUAACUGAAAGGGGCACGGAGUCCCAUUAAUAUCAAGAAAAACUUCGCCAAAUGUUUAAACCCUUCAUUACUUAUGCCAAAUAAAUGAAAAAUAACCUUUUUAUA
Molecule: RNA transcript, 1497 nt
Organism: Belonocnema kinseyi
Lineage: Eukaryota; Metazoa; Arthropoda; Insecta; Hymenoptera; Cynipidae
Gene: Sirt4
Gene name: NAD-dependent protein deacylase Sirt4-like
Exons: 6
Source: RefSeq, a predicted model, not a curated record